Molecule: long non-coding RNA, 332 nt
Filed under: Equus caballus (horse)
Lineage: Eukaryota; Metazoa; Chordata; Mammalia; Perissodactyla; Equidae
Description: lncRNA (ENSECAG00000044493.1)
Source: RNAcentral
UUAUGAUAAGUUACAGGAGUAAUGAAAUGUCAAGUUUCUUUGCUUUAGGUUGGAAUUCAAGUUGGUUUUAAAGACAUAAAAGGGAUAAAAGUAAGAGGAUGGAAGAAGAGAGAGCAUGCAAAUGCUAAUCAAAAGAAAAGAUUGUAGCUGCCCUGUAGCAGAUAUGGUGGAUAGGAGUGACCACACGAAACACCACAAAGAACAGUGGAGAGUUUACCAGCCCCACUCACAAAGCAGGCUGACAGCACUGCUCUGAUCAAUAGAGAACAGUCAUCUUGUCCACCUCGUGCUUGGCGCAUAGAAAGCAAAAAAGCGAAAUCUAAACUUCCCAC